GUGCCAGCCGCCGCGGUAAUACGGAGGAUCCAAGCGUUAUCCGGAAUCAUUGGGUUUAAAGGGUCCGUAGGCGGUCAGGUAAGUCAGUGGUGAAAGCCCAUCGCUCAACGGUGGAACGGCCAUUGAUACUGUCUGACUUGAAUUAUUAGGAAGUAACUAGAAUAUGUAGUGUAGCGGUGAAAUGCUUAGAGAUUACAUGGAAUACCAAUUGCGAAGGCAGGUUACUACUAAUAUAUUGACGCUGAUGGACGAAAGCGUGGGUAGCGAACAGGAUUAGAUACCCUGGUAGUCCACGCCGUAAACGAUGGAUACUAGCUGUUGGGAGCAAUCUCAGUGGCUAAGCGAAAGUGAUAAGUAUCCCACCUGGGGAGUACGAACGCAAGUUUGAAACUCAAAGGAAUUGACGGGGGCCCGCACAAGCGGUGGAGCAUGUGGUUUAAUUCGAUGAUACGCGAGGAACCUUACCAAGGCUUAAAUGUAGUUUGACCGGUUUGGAAACAGAUCUUUCGCAAGACAAAUUACAAGGUGCUGCAUGGUUGUCGUCAGCUCGUGCCGUGAGGUGUCAGGUUAAGUCCUAUAACGAGCGCAACCCCUGUUGUUAGUUGCCAGGGAGUCAUGUCGGGAACUCUAACGAGACUGCCAGUGCAAACUGUGAGGAAGGUGGGGAUGACGUC
This 674-nucleotide ribosomal RNA is filed under the name uncultured Flavobacteriia bacterium. RNAcentral's name for it is "bacterial SSU rRNA". It matches the Rfam family "Bacterial small subunit ribosomal RNA", at positions 505 to 1186 of the family's 1533-position model. Lineage: Bacteria; Pseudomonadati; Bacteroidota; Flavobacteriia. The record is from RNAcentral.